GGAAGGUUGGCUCGAGUGGUUGAAGGCACCUGAUUGAAAAUCGGGCGGGCGUCGAAAGGCGUCUCGCGGGUUCGAAUCCCGCACCUUAUU
RNAcentral lists this transfer RNA (90 nucleotides) under Devosia salina. RNAcentral describes it as "Devosia sp. SCS-3 tRNA-Phe". It matches the Rfam family "tRNA". Rfam says of the family: Transfer RNA (tRNA) molecules are approximately 80 nucleotides in length. Their secondary structure includes four short double-helical elements and three loops (D, anti-codon, and T loops). Lineage: Bacteria; Pseudomonadati; Pseudomonadota; Alphaproteobacteria; Hyphomicrobiales; Devosiaceae. The record is from RNAcentral.